Molecule: ribosomal RNA, 501 nt
Filed under: uncultured bacterium
Lineage: Bacteria
Description: partial 16S ribosomal RNA
Rfam family: Bacterial small subunit ribosomal RNA
Source: RNAcentral
AACGAACGCUGGCGGCGCGCCUAAUACAUGCAAGUCGAGCGAGAAGACGUAGCAAUACGUUUGUAAAUCGGCGAACGGGUGAGGAAUACAUGGGUAACCUACCCUCGAGUGGGGAAUAACUAGCCGAAAGGUUAGCUAAUACCGCAUACGACUCUCGGUCUGCGGAUCGAGAGGGAAAGCGAUACCGUGGGUAUCGCGCUCUUGGAUGGGCUCAUGUCCUAUCAGCUUGUUGGUGAGGUAAUGGCUCACCAAGGCUUCGACGGGUAGCUGGUCUGAGAGGACGAUCAGCCACACUGGCACUGCGACACGGGCCAGACUCCUACGGGAGGCAGCAGUAAGGAAUAUUGCGCAAUGGGCGACAGCCUGACGCAGCGACGCCGCGUGGGGGAUGAAGGUCUUCGGAUUGUAAACCCCUUUCGGCAGGGAAGAUGGAAUGGCUAACCAUUCGGACGGUACCUGCAGAAGCAGCCACGGCUAACUUCGUGCCAGCAGCCGCAGUAA